Molecule: ribosomal RNA, 504 nt
Filed under: uncultured bacterium
Lineage: Bacteria
Description: partial 16S ribosomal RNA
Rfam family: Bacterial small subunit ribosomal RNA
Source: RNAcentral
AUUGAACGCUGGCGGCAUGCCUUACACAUGCAAGUCGAACGGCAGCAUGGAGAGCUUGCCCUCUGAUGGCGAGUGGCGAACGGGUGAGUAAUGCAUCGGAACGUACCGUGUAAUGGGGGAUAACGUAGCGAAAGUUACGCUAAUACCGCAUACGACCUGAGGGUGAAAGCAGGGGAUCGCAAGACCUUGCGUUAUACGAGCGGCCGAUGUCAGAUUAGCUAGUUGGUGAGGUAAAGGCUCACCAAGGCGACGAACUGUAGCGGGUCUGAGAGGAUGAUCCGCCACCCUGGGACUGAGACACGGCCCAGACUCCUACGGGAGGCAGCAGUGGGGAAUUUUGGACAAUGGGGGCAACCCUGAUCCAGCCAUGCCGCGUGAGUGAAGAAGGCCUUCGGGUUGUAAAGCUCUUUCGGCCGGGAAGAAAUCGCACAGGCUAAUACUCUGUGUGGAUGACGGUACCGGCAUAAGAAGCACCGGCUAACUACGUGCCAGCCGCCGCCGUAA